This 460-nucleotide ribosomal RNA is filed under the name uncultured Gammaproteobacteria bacterium. Its description in RNAcentral is "bacterial SSU rRNA". The stretch from base 54 to 460 matches the Rfam family "Bacterial small subunit ribosomal RNA", at positions 1 to 398 of the family's 1533-position model. Lineage: Bacteria; Pseudomonadati; Pseudomonadota; Gammaproteobacteria. The record is from RNAcentral.
ACGCGUUGGGAGCUCUCCCAUAUGGUCGACCUGCAGGCGGCCGCGAAUUCACUAGUGAUUAGAGUUUGAUCGGGGCUCAGAUUGAACGCUGGCGGCAUGCCUAACACAUGCAAGUCGAACGGCAGCACAGUAAAGAUUUCGGUCUUUAUGGGGUGGCGAGUGGCGGACGGGUGAGUAACACGUAGGAAUCUGUCCUGGAGCGUGGGAUAACCCGAGGAAACUCGGGCUAAUACCACAUGAUAUCGAGAGAUCAAAAGCAGGGGACCGAAAGGCCUUGCGCUCUGGGGUGAGCCUACGUCGGAUUAGCUAGUUGGUGGGGUAAAAGCCUACCAAGGCGACGAUCCGUAGCUGGUCUGAGAGGAUGACCAGCCACACUGGGACUGAGACACGGCCCAGACUCCUACGGGAGGCAGCAGUGGGGAAUCUUGGACAAUGGGGGAAACCCUGAUCCAGCGAUGCC